Long non-coding RNA from Takifugu rubripes (torafugu), 1679 nucleotides. Lineage: Eukaryota; Metazoa; Chordata; Actinopteri; Tetraodontiformes; Tetraodontidae. The record is from Ensembl.
GGAAAAAUAUACCACUAGACAUGUCCCAUGGUAUUAUCUUGUAUCUUGUUGAUUUAAUGCUACUGUGAGCAACAUCACCAAGCUUUUGGGCCAGGAUCACUGAAAAAUCUUUUCUUGGGCAACGUCCUGUGUAUGGGGAUGGUAGCUAGAUUAGCAUACCAAUUCCAAGAGCAAGUCGAGGCUUGUCGCUAUGCAACCGCUCGGUGCGGACGUGCAGAUGACCAUGACACCGUAGCUCACUGAGCUGCUGACCUGUGACUCGGGAAUAUAAUGGCUAACAGCCUAGUAGACAUCAACCAUGACAUGUAGCAACACUGCAUCAUUGGUAGCAGCUUAGCGCUCGGCUUACCUGUCAAAAACUCUUCCCGAGGCUCUCCAGACUUUCACAAACCGUUGGAGGCAAUUUAUUAACAAGCGAGUCAAGGAUUUUAUGAAGUUAGGCAAGUUUGAUCCGGAACUGGCAGCGUCCUAGGUAGAAUUGAGACGUUAAAGUUUCCUCUACAUGUCCCUUUCCUCCAUGUUUUCCACGUCGCCACCCCUUGCGUGAUGACGUAGGGGCGUGGCUUACGCCGUGACGUCAGUGACGCGUUGGGUAAAUACACGUUUGUUGAUUUGUUUUCAACUUAUCUGUUGACGUCAUUCAACAUUAUACUAUUCAUUGAACUCAUAUUCGUUUAAAGAUAUAUUUUUAUGAAUGAUAUGCAUGUACAGCCGUUUAGGAAACGCUGAGAGAUACAUGCUACAACAGAACACCUUAGGGAGAUGCUCAACACACCCGAGAUCCACAGGCUUUUCAGGCAGAUCAAAAGUUCCUGGUGGAAAAUUACUUACCUGUGCCUCCUCCUUAACCUGUAAGACCUGAAUCAUCUGCACCCUUUUUGAGGUAGUACUACAAAACACACAGCUAAAGCUACUGAGUUUGCAUCUUCACACCUUCAUCUAUUGAACAGACUGUGCACGGGUUUGGAACCUAUGGUUACCUGAGAGUGCCCCUCCCCCACCUGGAGCCUGUUUCAACAUAAGUCUUAAACUUCGAACUACAACCUUAAUUUAAACUGCUCUUGUUUUUAGUGCUGUGACGUCCAUCUGGCUUUUAAAAUCAACAUUAUACCAGCAUUCUCCUUUUUUGGCUUCCUAUACAACCAACAUAUAUGCAGAGGGAGAAUAAUAAACCAAAAGUCAGGAGAAGGAGCAAAAUGCAAAGCUGAUGGCUGCCCUUGACAGAAAAGAGCAACCAAGCAUUCCUCGAAUGCUGCGUGAGAAGGUAAGCAUGUUCUCUGAAUGAAAUAUUUAAAAUUCUUCAGUUUGUGUGCGUUUGGUAUAUGUUGUCCAAGAGUACAUUUGUCUAAAUAAUCUGUUCUCAUUUUGUCUUGAUUGGACUUUAGUGUGCUGCCCACAGAUGAGAGGGAGAAACAUUACAUUAUGGAGGAUGUAAUUCAGGAAGAGCAAAGCCCUGCAGAAAAAACUGUUUCAGACCCAGACUGCUGUCUCUGCUGUCAAUGAUCCACCAUGUUUUAGCCACCGGAUAUGACAGGAUAGAUUAUAUUUUAACCAAUGUUUCUUUGAUUGUCUUCAGCUGCAGCUGUUCUGGUAAUAAUAUGAUGUUGCUGACCUGAUUCUCAGCCCUCGUGAUGGGUUGCAGGCACAAAACAGCAUUUUCCUUUCUUAAAGUUUUGAUA